Molecule: ribosomal RNA, 263 nt
Filed under: uncultured bacterium
Lineage: Bacteria
Description: partial 16S ribosomal RNA
Rfam family: Bacterial small subunit ribosomal RNA
Source: RNAcentral
CUUAGUGGCGGACGGGUGAGUAACGCGUGGGGAACCUGCCCUGUACAGGGGGAUAACACUUAGAAAUAGGUGCUAAUACCGCAUAAGCGCACAGUAUCGCAUGAUACAGUGUGAAAAACUCCGGUGGUACAGGAUGGACCCGCGUCUGAUUAGCUGGUUGGAGGGGUAACGGCCCACCAAGGCGACGAUCAGUAGCCGGCCUGAGAGGGUGAACGGCCACAUUGGGACUGAGACACGGCCCAAACUCCUACGGAAGGCAGCAG